RNAcentral lists this ribosomal RNA (254 nucleotides) under uncultured bacterium. Its description in RNAcentral is "partial 16S ribosomal RNA". It matches the Rfam family "Bacterial small subunit ribosomal RNA", at positions 524 to 776 of the family's 1533-position model. The record is from RNAcentral.
UACGUAGGGUGCGAGCGUUAAUCGGAAUUACUGGGCGUAAAGCGUGCGCAGGCGGUGAGCUGUGUCCGAUGUGAAAGCCCCGGGCUUAACCUGGGAAUGGCAUUGGAAACUGGCUCGCUGGAGUGUGGCAGAGGGGGGUGGAAUUCCGCGGUGUAGCAGUGAAAUGCGUAGAGAUGUGGAGGAACACCAGUGGCGAAGGCGACUCUCUGGUCUGUAACUGACGCUGAGGCGCGAAAGCGUGGGGAGCAAACAGG